This is a non-coding RNA of Pteropus alecto (black flying fox), 103 nucleotides long. Lineage: Eukaryota; Metazoa; Chordata; Mammalia; Chiroptera; Pteropodidae. The record is from Rfam.
UUGCUUCUGCAGCACAUAUACUAAAAUUGGAACAAUACAGAGAAGAUUAGUAUGACCUUUGAGCAAAGAUGACAUGUAAAUUUGUGAAGCAUUCCAUAUUUUU